GACGAACGCUGGCGGCGUGCUUAACACAUGCAAGUCGAACGGGCCUUGUCCCCUUUUUUUUUGGGGGUGGGGUUAGUGGCGAACGGGUGAGUAACACGUGAGUAACCUGCCCCUCACUUCUGGAUAACCGCUUGAAAGGGUGGCUAAUACGGGGUGUUCUGGCCUGCUCGCAUGGGUGGGUUUGGAAAGAUUCGACCGGUUUUGGUUGUUUUGGUGGGGUAUGGGCUCGCGGCCUAUCAGCUUGUUGGUGGGGUGAUGGCCUGCCAAGGCUUUGACGGGUAGCCGGCCUGAGAGGGUGGGCGGUCACACUGGGACUGAGACACGGCCCAGACUCCUACGGGAGGCAGCAGUGGGGAAUAUUGCACAAUGGGCGCAAGCCUGAUGCAGCGACGCCGCGUGAGGGAUGGAGGCCUUCGGGUUGGGAACCUCUUUCGCCAGUGAAGAAGGUCCUGCUCUUUGUGGUGGGGUUGACAGUAGCUGGGUUAAUGAAGCGCCGGCUAACUACGUG
RNAcentral lists this ribosomal RNA (508 nucleotides) under uncultured bacterium. RNAcentral's name for it is "partial 16S ribosomal RNA". It matches the Rfam family "Bacterial small subunit ribosomal RNA", at positions 28 to 507 of the family's 1533-position model. The record is from RNAcentral.